UACAGAGGUCCCGAGCGUUGUUCGGAUUCAUUGGGCGUAAAGGGUGCGUAGGCGGCGGGGCAAGUCUGAUGUGAAAUCCUGGGGCUCAACCCCAGAACUGCAUUGGAUACUGCCUUGCUAGAGUACUGGAGAGGGAACUGGAAUUUACGGUGUAGCAGUGAAAUGCGUAGAGAUCGUAAGGAAGGCCAGUGGCGAAGGCGAGUUCCUGGACAGUAACUGACGCUGAGGCACGAAGGCCAGGGGAGCAAACGGG
This 253-nucleotide ribosomal RNA is filed under the name uncultured bacterium. Its description in RNAcentral is "partial 16S ribosomal RNA". It matches the Rfam family "Bacterial small subunit ribosomal RNA", at positions 524 to 776 of the family's 1533-position model. The record is from RNAcentral.